AUUGAACGCUGGCGGCAUGCUUUACACAUGCAAGUCGAACAGUAACAGGUUAAGCUGACGAGUGGCGAACGGGUGAGUAAUGCAUCGGAACGUGCCCGGUCGUGGGGGAUAACGCAGCGAAAGCUGCGCUAAUACCGCAUACGAUCUGAGGAUGAAAGCGGGGGACCGUAAGGCCUCGCGCGAUCGGAGCGGCCGAUGUCAGAUUAGGUAGUUGGUGGGGUAAAGGCUCACCAAGCCAACGAUCUGUAGCUGGUUUGAGAGGACGACCAGCCAAACUGGGACGGAGACACGACCCAGACUCCUGCGGGAGGCAGCAGUGGGGAAUUUUGGACAAUGGGCGAAAGCCUGAUCCAGCAAUGCCGCGUGCAGGAAGAAGGCCUUCGGGUUGUAAACUGCUUUUGUACGGAGCGAAAAGGUCUCCUCUAAUACAGGGGGCUCAUGACGGUACCGUAAGAAUAAGCACCGGCUAACUACGUGCCAGCCGCCGCAGUAA
Molecule: ribosomal RNA, 493 nt
Filed under: uncultured bacterium
Lineage: Bacteria
Description: partial 16S ribosomal RNA
Rfam family: Bacterial small subunit ribosomal RNA
Source: RNAcentral